AAUUGUAGAGCACACAGUGUUUAACAAGUAACCAAUGAGAAUUCCUGAUCUAUCAAUUUGUUGGUAGUAUCGAGGACUACCAAGAUUAUAACGGAUAACGAGGAAUUGGGGUUCGACAUCGGAGAGGGAGCUUUACAGAUGGCUACCACUUCUACGGAAGGCAGCAGGCGCGUAAAUUACCCACUUUCGACGUGAAGAGGUAGUGACGACAAAUAACUCUCG
Molecule: ribosomal RNA, 222 nt
Filed under: Entamoeba moshkovskii
Lineage: Eukaryota; Evosea; Mastigamoebida; Endamoebidae
Description: partial small subunit ribosomal RNA
Rfam family: Eukaryotic small subunit ribosomal RNA
Source: RNAcentral